UACUAUAUAAUCAAUUUAUGUGAUUGUAAAUGAAUAACUUGUAAAUUCACUAGGUGAUUUAGUUCACCUCUAACUGCAGAAAAUGAAGGUUGCAUUUAUUUUUACUUUACUAUUGAUAUUUGUUUGUGCCCUAGAGAUGAAAGGUGAGGAAACGAUCAUGGCAAACGAAGGAGCAGAUCCAGCUGAUGAUUCCGGUCGUAGCUUAAAAGGAAUUUUAUUUAAAAUAAUUGAUCCAUUCAAUAUUAUGGAUAACGAUUUUUAGUAUUUUACAUUUAUUGAGUUGUAUGUGCAGUUAAUUAAAACAAUAUAAGAUCAUCAAAGAAAUAAAUCUAUUGAAGAGAA
This is a long non-coding RNA of Aethina tumida (small hive beetle), 342 nucleotides long. RefSeq lists it as uncharacterized. The record is from RefSeq and is a predicted model, not a curated record. The transcript is spliced from 2 exons. Lineage: Eukaryota; Metazoa; Arthropoda; Insecta; Coleoptera; Nitidulidae.